This 520-nucleotide ribosomal RNA is filed under the name uncultured bacterium. Its description in RNAcentral is "partial 16S ribosomal RNA". The record is from RNAcentral.
AAUCGUGACUCGGGUUACCGCGGCUGCUGGCACGGAGUUAGCCGGUGCUUCUUCUGUGAGUGAUGUCCUUCCUGCCGGCUAUUAACCCGCAGGCCUUCUUCCUCACUGAAAGUGCUUUACAACCCGAAGGCCUUCUUCACACACGCGGCAUGGCUGGAUCAGGGUUGCCCCCAUUGUCCAACUAUUCCCACCUGCUGCCUCCCGUAGGAGUCUGGCCGUGUCUCAGUCCCACGUGUGGCUGAUCAUCCUCUCAGACCAGCUACGGAUCGUCGCCUUGGUGAGCCGUUACCUCACCAACCAGCUAAUCCGACAUAGGCUCAUCCGAUAGCGCGAGGCCCGAAGGUCCCCCGGCUUUCCCCGUACGGGCGUAUGCGGUAUUAGCCUGGGUUUCCCCACGGUUAUCCCCACUACCGGGCAGAUUCCUAUGCAUUACUCACCCGUCCGCCGCUCGCCACCAGGGAGCAAGCUCCCCGUGCUGCCGCUCGACUUGCAUGUGUUAGGCCUGCCGCCAGCGUUCAAU